GUAAUGGCCUACCAGGCGACGACGGGUAGCCGACCUGAGAGGGUGACCGGCCCACUGGGACUGAGACACGGCCCAGACUCCUACGGGAGGCAGCAGUGGGGAAUAUUGCGCAAUGGGCGGAAGCCUGACGCAGCGACGCCGCGUGGGGGAUGACGGCCUUCGGGUUGUAAACCUCUUUCAGCAGGGACGAAGCGUGAGUGACGGUACCUGCAGAAGAAGCACCGGCUAACUACGUGCCAGCAGCCGCGGUAAUACGUAGGGUGCGAGCGUUGUCCGGAAUUACUGGGCGUAAAGAGUUCGUAGGCGGUUUGUCGCGUCGUUUGUGAAAACCCGGGGCUCAACUUCGGGCUUGCAGGCGAUACGGGCAGACUAGAGUGCGGUAGGGGAGACUGGAAUUCCUGGUGUAGCGGUGAAAUGCGCAGAUAUCAGGAGGAACACCGGUGGCGAAGGCAGGUCUCUGGGCAGUCACUGACGCUGAGGAGCGAAAGUGUGGGGAGCGAACAGGAUUAGAUACCCUGGUAGUCCACACCGUAAACGGUGGGCGCUAGG
RNAcentral lists this ribosomal RNA (549 nucleotides) under uncultured Actinomycetes bacterium. Its description in RNAcentral is "bacterial SSU rRNA". It matches the Rfam family "Bacterial small subunit ribosomal RNA", at positions 257 to 820 of the family's 1533-position model. The record is from RNAcentral. Lineage: Bacteria; Bacillati; Actinomycetota; Actinomycetes.